This is a long non-coding RNA of Xenopus laevis (African clawed frog), 2309 nucleotides long. RefSeq lists it as uncharacterized. The record is from RefSeq and is a predicted model, not a curated record. The transcript is spliced from 5 exons. Lineage: Eukaryota; Metazoa; Chordata; Amphibia; Anura; Pipidae.
AAGCCCCCGCCCCCUCAAAGUCCUUGCAGUAGCAGUUGAACCUAUCUGCUGGGGGCGGAGUCCGGGGCUAUUUUGCGGCGAAAGCAGUGCAUGUUGGGAUAUGUAAGUCACCUUGCCUGGCUUCAAAGUGUCAGCUGUGAGCAGCUAGGAAUAUGUCUAUGUUUUUUGGACGCUCGGUUAAGGACACGUUACAUACGCGUGGAAGGAAAGAUCAUGUGACUGAGCUCUUACAUCUUUUCUUCUACUGAAUGUUGCCACUCCUUGAAUGGCGGAGGAGAUACUUUCUUCCAAUGUCUUGGAAUUAAAGAUUUGGCUGCAUUUAACAAGUGCAAGAUUUUAACACGCUGGGGAGGGAGAAUACUUAAACAAGGUGCUAUACUUCAACUCUCUUUCAACUGGAGGAUGUCAACAAUCCAAGAACUGGAUUAUAAUGACUUCAGGUUUUAACGUGUUCUAAGCCUUUCUCACGGGUAUUUUAGCAUAAAAAAAAAAAAAGCUAUGUCAACAGAAAACGCCGGGGCAUGUUCAAGUGAUUCAUCUCCGUCUAUUCGAGUCAAAAUCUGCACCUGUUUCACAAGGUGGGUUAAUAACCUCCUCCUGUACUUUUCUGUGCCAUCCCGCGACACGUUUGAAUCAACUUUCCGACUGUGAAAUGCCAUUGUUUGUUAUUUGUCAAAUUUUCACCCUUGAGAUGUUUCAUCAAUUCCCAGAAUACAGUUUGCAGUUUGGACACAAUACACAGUUCUGGACACACAUCUCUUGCCCACAUACCACAACUUCAGGGUUAAUAUGAUGACCUCUAGUCUUAAUUAAUAUACAAAUGUAAUAUUUGUGUAUUGCUAAGUGCGUAAAACAUAAGGGGACUAUCGGAAGGCAGCACCCACUCGCCCAAUUCUCACAUGACUUUUACACAAUUGACCACAGGACGCAAACACCAUAACUGUAAAGUUUUAAUUCUUCUGGUGCCAUUAUUGUUUAAUUGAACAUCAUAUAACUCGGUACUAAUUAUUAUAACGAUUGGGCCAACUACUUCCAUGCAUAAAGUCUUUAAGGCAUGUGAACCAAUGGAUAGAGCAAAUGCAGCAUUCUCUCAACCAGCCUUACAGGUAAAUCUGGAUUGCUGCAUUAUAGGACACUAUUGUUUUCAGGAUACUUAGUGCCCGAGGUCAAUCUGUGGAACUGGUAAACUCCUAAAUCAGCCUCCUGUCAAGGUGUAAUUUAAGCAAACCUGUCAACCCACAGACACUCACACCUAUAAUGUAAACCUAAGCAUCCUAUCUCCAUCCUACUACAGCUUUAAUGCUGGGCUUGGUUCAAAGGAUCUGCAGGUAUCUAUGAGACGACAGCGUCAAGAUAUGGAAAUCUGCAGCUACCCAGGAGAAUUCAAUAUCAAGGUCAGAAUACUUGCACCUUCCCAGGACUACAGUAUUAAGGUCAGGAUAUCUGCAGUUGACCAGGAGGCUUCAAUAUCAAGGUGUCAAGGUCUGGAUAUCUACAGCUACUCCAAGAGGCUUCAGUAUCAAGGUCAGGAUAUAUGCAGGUACCUACAAGACGACAGUGUCAAGGUAUGGAAAUCUGCAGCUACCCAGGAGACCUCAAUAUCAAGGUCAGGAUCUAUGCAGGAACUUCUAAGAUGACCGUGUCAAAGUAUGGAAAUCUGCAGCUACCCAGAAGACUUCAAUAUCAAGGUCAGGAUAUCUGCACCUACAUAGGAAACUGGAACAAUUAGGUAGCUGCAGCUACCCAGGAGAAUAGAAUACAGAGGUCUGGAUGUAUGUAGCAAUCAAGUAGACUUUAAUAUUAAGGUCUGGAUAUCUACAGCUACCCCGGAAAUUGAAAUUUGUAGUUGUGAACUAUUCUUCACAUAGAAACGGACCAGUUUUCCUUGUUGGGUUAGAUCUAGUGGGCAGCCUAAAAUGAGCAGAAAUGCCACCGGACAACUGAACGUUCUUCAGGUUUGAUACAACAGUUUUUCUGCCUUCGCAGAAUGCACAGCUAGAUCAUAUUUAAUUUUUUUAAAAGCAAAAUUCAAGUGAGCAGAUUUCCAUUUUAGAUUUGGAAUUUUAAACGGUCCACUAUGCGCCUUGGGAAUGGAAUGUUUCUGGAUGUUUCUGGAUGCAUACGACUAUCUUCGAGGAACUGUGAAUUCUCUAGCUGGCUUAAGAAUUUAUAAUAGAUGUAACAGUGCUUAUCUGAGGUUUAUAUUUCUCCUUUGAUUAUUUAGAAAAACUUCCUCCCAAAAUGUUUUAAUUUUUUGUUAAUUCAGUUUAAGCAAUGUAUGUACCCUCAAGAAUAAACUGUGAAGCUCA